AUUAUUGGACAAUGGGUGAGGGCCUGACCCAGCCAGCCCGCGUGCAGGAAGAAUGCCUUAUGGUUUGUAAACGUCUUUUAUACAGGAAUAAACCACUUUACGCGUAAGGUGUUGAAGGUACUGUAUUAAUAAGCAACGGCUAACUACGUCCCAGCAGCCGCGGUAAUACGGAGGAUGCAAGCGUUAUCCGGAUUUAUUGGGUUUAAAGGGUCCGUAGGCGGGCAUAUCAGUCAGAGGUGAAAUCCGACAGCUUAACUGUCGAACUGCCUUUGAAACUGUAUGUCUUGAGUGAGAUUGAAGCAGCUGGAAUGUGUAGUGUAGCGGUGAAAUGCAUAGAUAUUACACAGAACACCGAUAGCGUAGGCAGGUUGCUAAGUCUUUACUGACGCUGAUGGACGAAAGCGUGGGGAGCAAACA
RNAcentral lists this ribosomal RNA (417 nucleotides) under uncultured bacterium. RNAcentral's name for it is "partial 16S ribosomal RNA". It matches the Rfam family "Bacterial small subunit ribosomal RNA", at positions 360 to 774 of the family's 1533-position model. The record is from RNAcentral.